GGUUCCUUCGGGAACUGGAGAGUGGCGCACGGGUGAGUAACGCGUGGGGACCUACCUCUUAGUGGGGGAUAACGGUUGGAAACGACCGCUAAUACCGCAUACGCCCUUCGGGGGAAAGAUUUAUCGCUAAGAGAUGGACCCGCGUUGGAUUAGAUAGUUGGUGAGGUAACGGCUCACCAAGUCAGCGAUCCAUAGCUGGUUUGAGAGGAUGAUCAGCCACAUCGGGACUGAGACACGGCCCGAACUCCUACGGGAGGCAGCAGUGGGGAAUAUUGGACAAUGGGGGCAACCCUGAUCCAGCCAUGCCGCGUGUGUGAAGAAGGCUUUCGGGUUGUAAAGCACUUUCAGUGAGGAGGAAAACUCUGCGACUAAUACUCGUAGGGCUUGACGUUACUCACAGAAGAAGCACCGGCUAACUCCGUGCCAGCAGCCGCGGUAAUACGGAGGGUGCAAGCGUUAAUCGGAAUUACUGGGCGUAAAGCGCGCGUAGGUGGUUUGAUAAGCGAG
RNAcentral lists this ribosomal RNA (507 nucleotides) under bacterium enrichment culture clone H11_2-H9_081 (1/59). RNAcentral describes it as "bacterial SSU rRNA". It matches the Rfam family "Bacterial small subunit ribosomal RNA", at positions 73 to 591 of the family's 1533-position model. The record is from RNAcentral.